GGAUUAAUCUCCUUUCCAUCCUCGUCAACCUCAGCAGGUGCAAGUCCAGCUUUACGUGCUUCUUCCAAUUCAAUUUGCUUUCUGUGAUCCUCCCUGGACUUAAAUGCAACUGAUGAGGUUGCCAUGUUGGAUUCUGUAGAUGUGAUGGACGCAAGCUCUACGAAUUCAGUAAAUAAACUGAAAUUAAUUGCAGGCAGCAGAAACGGAACCUUGCGCCCCAAACUCGAGAGAGUAAAUCCUGUGAAGGAUUAUG
RNAcentral lists this unclassified non-coding RNA (253 nucleotides) under Hevea brasiliensis (rubber tree). Lineage: Eukaryota; Viridiplantae; Streptophyta; Magnoliopsida; Malpighiales; Euphorbiaceae. The record is from RNAcentral.